Molecule: long non-coding RNA, 661 nt
Filed under: Rosa chinensis
Lineage: Eukaryota; Viridiplantae; Streptophyta; Magnoliopsida; Rosales; Rosaceae
Description: sRNA RchiOBHm_Chr7g0213731
Source: RNAcentral
UUGAGCUAAGCAACCUCCGUAGCUGGAAUCAAGGCUUCACGGUGCAUCAAAGCCCUAGGACCUAGACCUCCGAUUCCGACUGGAGCCGCCAUACGAGUUGCACGCGCCGCCCCAGGCGAGUGGACCACUAUAGAUCCGUAGCUCACGGUUGCCGGAAAUCGUCAGGACUUCUUGACUAGGUAAUCCCGUGAUUUCUCUUUAGCUGGAGCCUCUAGUUUGAGUAGAGUGAACCCUAACAACUUCUUGUUUAAUUUGGAGCAUGAGGAAUCUGCGUUUUUGAAGAUUUUGGAGAAGAAGGAAUUGUUGGGUCAGUUUCGAUUGAAAUGGGAUAUGGGAUCAUAAUGGAUGAAGAUGGUGGGAAUGCAGCUAUGGUCACUCGAAUCCCCAUUUGGAAAAGAAGAAACGGUAAGUGUUAGUCCCUGCCAAACCGUGGGUUUUGGUAUGGUGAUUGUAAAAUUCUAGAGAUUGUUAUCGAAUGGAAUGAAAAGUUGGUAUGCUACUUGAAUGGUUAAUGCUCCUUUGAGUGAUCGAUUGUUGUGAAUUUAGCUAAAAUGUGGACAAGUAUGAAAUGGCUAAAUGUGUGGAGAAGAUUAGUGUUGUUAGUUAAAUUGAUGACGGAGUUUGAAUUUUGUCAUAUUGAAAAGUAAAUGGUUGUUGUGAA